RNAcentral lists this ribosomal RNA (1046 nucleotides) under uncultured Rickettsia sp. RNAcentral's name for it is "partial 23S ribosomal RNA". It matches the Rfam family "Bacterial large subunit ribosomal RNA", at positions 590 to 1732 of the family's 2925-position model. The record is from RNAcentral. Lineage: Bacteria; Pseudomonadati; Pseudomonadota; Alphaproteobacteria; Rickettsiales; Rickettsiaceae.
CUUGUGACGGCGUACCUUUUGUAUAAUGGGUCAGCGACUUAGUUUAUCUAGCAAGCUUAAGCCGUUAGGUGUAGGCGUAGCGAAAGCGAGUCUGAAUAGGGCGACUAUAGUUAGAUGAAUUAGACCCGAAACCGAGUGAUCUAGCCAUGGCCAGGUUGAAAGCGGAGUAAAAUCCGCUGAAGGACCGAACCCACUACUGUUGAAAAAGUAGGGGAUGAGCUGUGGUUAGGGGUGAAAGGCCAAUCAAACUCGGAUAUAGCUGGUUCUCCGCGAAAUCUAUUUAGGUAGAGCGUUAUAGCGGUUACCAUCGGAGGUAGAGCACUGAAUGAGCUAGGGGGUCCCACAGACUUACCAAACUCAAUCAAACUCCGAAUGCCGAUGAGUAUAGCAUAGCAGACAGACUAUGGGUGCUAAGGUCCAUAGUCGAGAGGGAAAAAGCCCAGACCGCCAUCUAAGGUCCCUAAAUCAUGACUAAGUGUUAAAGGAUGUGAGAAGACCAAAACAACUAGGAUGUUGGCUUAGAAGCAGCCAUCAUUUAAAGAAAGCGUAAUAGCUCACUAGUCUAAAUAAGUUUUCUUGCGCCAACAAUGUAACGGGGCUCAAGUCAUGUACCGAAGAUGCGGAUUCACACAUUUGGUGUGAGUGGUAGCGGAGCGUUCCGUAAGCCUGUGAAGGUGAACCGUAAGGUUUGCUGGAGGUAUCGGAAGUGAGAAUGCUGACAUAAGUAGCGAUAAAGAAUGCGAGAAACAUUCUCGCCGAAAGUCCAAGGGUUCUUGCGUAAAGUUAAUCUGCGCAAGGUUAGUCGGCCCCUAAGGUGAGGCUGAAAGGCGUAAUCGAUGGGAAUCAGGUUAAUAUUCCUGAACCUGAAGGAUGUGACGAAAGUAGUAAGUUGUACAGUCUUAUUGGAUUGAUUGUGCAGCGAAUAUUUUCCAGGAAAUAACACCUUCAUUAUAGACCGUACCCGAAACCGACACAGGUGGACAGGUAGAGUAUACCAAGGCGCUUGAGAGAACGAUGCUGAAGGAACUAGGCAAAUUGCAUCUGUA